UCUUGCACAAUGGGGGCAACCCUGAUGCAGCCAUGCCGCGUGCGCGACGACGGUCUUCGGAUUGUAAAGCGCUUUUGGCGGGGACGACGAUGACGGUACCCGCAGAAGAAGUCACGGCUAACUUCGUGCCAGCAGCCGCGGUAAUACGAAGGUGGCGAAUGUUGUUCGGAUUUACUGGGCGUAAAGCGUCCGCAGGUGGUUUGUUAAGUCAGGUGUGAAAGCCCCGCGCUCAACGUGGGAAUUGCACUUGAAACUGGCGAACUAGAAGGCGAGAGAGGAGGGCGGAAUUACCGGUGUAGAAGUGAAAUUCGUAGAUAUCGGUAGGAACACCCAUGGCGAAGGCAGCUCUCUGGCUCGCUCUUGACACUCAUGGACGAAAGCGUGGGGAUCAA
This 392-nucleotide ribosomal RNA is filed under the name uncultured bacterium. RNAcentral describes it as "bacterial SSU rRNA". It matches the Rfam family "Bacterial small subunit ribosomal RNA", at positions 362 to 771 of the family's 1533-position model. The record is from RNAcentral.